AACAUCGCGCACCUGCGGGAACCUGCGGAAGGAUCAUCAUCGAGUGUAAUCUACCCCUUUAAAAAAGGGUAGUACCUCCCGUCCUUUGCAGGCCUCUUUUUUUAUUAGGGGGGGCUUUUUAAGACUUUCUGCUUCGGCGGGGUUACUCCCGCCGGAACACCCUCAAAAAAUUCUCGAAAAAAAUCGUUCAGUCCGAGAACUUUUUAAAAAUAAAAUAAAACUUUUAGCAAUGGAUCUCAG
RNAcentral lists this unclassified non-coding RNA (240 nucleotides) under soil metagenome. RNAcentral's name for it is "partial contains 5.8S ribosomal RNA, internal transcribed spacer 2, and large subunit ribosomal RNA". The record is from RNAcentral.